This 404-nucleotide unclassified non-coding RNA is filed under the name soil metagenome. RNAcentral's name for it is "partial contains 5.8S ribosomal RNA, internal transcribed spacer 2, and large subunit ribosomal RNA". The stretch from base 1 to 121 matches the Rfam family "5.8S ribosomal RNA", at positions 35 to 154 of the family's 154-position model. The record is from RNAcentral.
GAUGAAGAACGUAGCGAAAUGCGAUAAGUAAUGUGAAUUGCAGAAUUCAGUGAAUCAUCGAAUCUUUGAACGCACCUUGCGCCCUUUGGCCAUUCCGAAGGGCAUGCCUGUUUGAGUAUCAUGAACACCUCAACUCUUUAUGGUUUUCCAUGAUGAGCUUGGACUUUGGGGGUUUUGCUGGCCUAUGGUCGGCUCCUCUAAAAUAAAUCAGCUUACCAGUGUUUGGUGGGUAUCAUGGGUGUGAUAACUAUCUACGCUUGUGGUUUUUCCGCCAGGUAACCUUCGACAGCGGAGGUUCACUGGAGCUCAUAGAUGUCUCUCCUCAGCGAGGACAGCCCUUUGAAUGUUUGAUCUCAAAUCAGGUAGGACUACCCGCUGAACUUAAGCAUAUCAAUAAGCGAGGA